GAUUGAACGCUGGCGGCAGGCCUAACACAUGCAAGUCGAACGGUAGCACAGAGGAGCUUGCUCCUUGGGUGACGAGUGGCGGACGGGUGAGUAAUGUCUGGGAAACUGCCUGAUGGAGGGGGAUAACUACUGGAAACGGUAGCUAAUACCGCAUAAUGUCGCAAGACCAAAGAGGGGGACCUUCGGGCCUCUUGCCAUCAGAUGUGCCCAGAUGGGAUUAGCUAGUAGGUGGGGUAAUGGCUCACCUAGGCGACGAUCCCUAGCUGGUCUGAGAGGAUGACCAGCCACACUGGAACUGAGACACGGUCCAGACUCCUACGGGAGGCAGCAGUGGGGAAUAUUGCACAAUGGGCGCAAGCCUGAUGCAGCCAUGCCGCGUGUAUGAAGAAGGCCUUCGGGUUGUAAAGUACUUUCAGCGGGGAGGAAGGCAUUGUGGUUAAUAACCACAGUGAUUGACGUUACCCGCAGAAGAAGCACCGGCUAACUCCGU
This 490-nucleotide ribosomal RNA is filed under the name Enterobacteriaceae bacterium 'ARUP UnID 510'. RNAcentral describes it as "bacterial SSU rRNA". It matches the Rfam family "Bacterial small subunit ribosomal RNA", at positions 27 to 506 of the family's 1533-position model. Lineage: Bacteria; Pseudomonadati; Pseudomonadota; Gammaproteobacteria; Enterobacterales; Enterobacteriaceae. The record is from RNAcentral.